This 2771-nucleotide ribosomal RNA is filed under the name Klebsiella pneumoniae subsp. ozaenae. RNAcentral describes it as "bacterial LSU rRNA". It matches the Rfam family "Bacterial large subunit ribosomal RNA". Lineage: Bacteria; Pseudomonadati; Pseudomonadota; Gammaproteobacteria; Enterobacterales; Enterobacteriaceae. The record is from RNAcentral.
AGCGUACACGGUGGAUGCCCUGGCAGUCAGAGGCGAUGAAGGACGUGCUAAUCUGCGAAAAGCGUCGGUAAGGUGAUAUGAACCGUUACAGCCGGCGAUGUCCGAAUGGGGAAACCCAGUGCAAUUCGUUGCACUAUCGUUAACUGAAUACAUAGGUUAACGAGGCGAACCGGGGGAACUGAAACAUCUAAGUACCCCGAGGAAAAGAAAUCAACCGAGAUUCCCCCAGUAGCGGCGAGCGAACGGGGAGCAGCCCAGAGUCUGAAUCAGCUUGUGUGUUAGUGGAACGGUCUGGAAAGUCCGACGGUACAGGGUGAUAGUCCCGUACACCAAAAUGCACAGGCUGUGAACUCGAAGAGUAGGGCGGGACACGUGGUAUCCUGUCUGAAUAUGGGGGGACCAUCCUCCAAGGCUAAAUACUCCUGACUGACCGAUAGUGAACCAGUACCGUGAGGGAAAGGCGAAAAGAACCCCGGCGAGGGGAGUGAAAAAGAACCUGAAACCGUGUACGUACAAGCAGUGGGAGCACCUUCGGGUGUGACUGCGUACCUUUUGUAUAAUGGGUCAGCGACUUAUAUUCUGUAGCAAGGUUAACCGUAUAGGGGAGCCGCAGGGAAACCGAGUCUUAACUGGGCGUUAAGUUGCAGGGUAUAGACCCGAAACCCGGUGAUCUAGCCAUGGGCAGGUUGAAGGUUGGGUAACACUAACUGGAGGACCGAACCGACUAAUGUUGAAAAAUUAGCGGAUGACUUGUGGCUGGGGGUGAAAGGCCAAUCAAACCGGGAGAUAGCUGGUUCUCCCCGAAAGCUAUUUAGGUAGCGCCUCGUGAAUUCAUCUUCGGGGGUAGAGCACUGUUUCGGCUAGGGGGUCAUCCCGACUUACCAACCCGAUGCAAACUACGAAUACCGAAGAAUGUUAUCACGGGAGACACACGGCGGGUGCUAACGUCCGUCGUGAAGAGGGAAACAACCCAGACCGCCAGCUAAGGUCCCAAAGUCAUGGUUAAGUGGGAAACGAUGUGGGAAGGCACAGACAGCCAGGAUGUUGGCUUAGAAGCAGCCAUCAUUUAAAGAAAGCGUAAUAGCUCACUGGUCGAGUCGGCCUGCGCGGAAGAUGUAACGGGGCUAAACCAUGCACCGAAGCUGCGGCAGCGACACUAUGUGUUGUUGGGUAGGGGAGCGUUCUGUAAGCCUGCGAAGGUGACCUGUGAGGGUUGCUGGAGGUAUCAGAAGUGCGAAUGCUGACAUAAGUAACGAUAAAGCGGGUGAAAAGCCCGCUCGCCGGAAGACCAAGGGUUCCUGUCCAACGUUAAUCGGGGCAGGGUGAGUCGACCCCUAAGGCGAGGCCGAAAGGCGUAGUCGAUGGGAAACAGGUUAAUAUUCCUGUACUUGGUGUUACUGCGAAGGGGGGACGGAGAAGGCUAUGUUAGCCGGGCGACGGUUGUCCCGGUUUAAGCAUGUAGGCUGGUUAUCCAGGCAAAUCCGGAUAAUCAAGGCUGAGGUGUGAUGACGAGGCACUACGGUGCUGAAGUAACAAAUGCCCUGCUUCCAGGAAAAGCCUCUAAGCAUCAGGUAACAUCAAAUCGUACCCCAAACCGACACAGGUGGUCAGGUAGAGAAUACCAAGGCGCUUGAGAGAACUCGGGUGAAGGAACUAGGCAAAAUGGUGCCGUAACUUCGGGAGAAGGCACGCUGGUGUGUAGGUGAAGCCCCUGCGGGUGGAGCUGAGACCAGUCGAAGAUACCAGCUGGCUGCAACUGUUUAUUAAAAACACAGCACUGUGCAAACACGAAAGUGGACGUAUACGGUGUGACGCCUGCCCGGUGCCGGAAGGUUAAUUGAUGGGGUUAUCCGUAAGGAGAAGCUCUUGAUCGAAGCCCCGGUAAACGGCGGCCGUAACUAUAACGGUCCUAAGGUAGCGAAAUUCCUUGUCGGGUAAGUUCCGACCUGCACGAAUGGCGUAAUGAUGGCCAGGCUGUCUCCACCCGAGACUCAGUGAAAUUGAACUCGCUGUGAAGAUGCAGUGUACCCGCGGCAAGACGGAAAGACCCCGUGAACCUUUACUAUAGCUUGACACUGAACAUUGAGCCUUGAUGUGUAGGAUAGGUGGGAGGCUUUGAAGCGUGGACGCCAGUCUGCGUGGAGCCAACCUUGAAAUACCACCCUUUAAUGUUUGAUGUUCUAACGUUGGCCCCUUACCGGGGUUGCGGACAGUGUCUGGUGGGUAGUUUGACUGGGGCGGUCUCCUCCCAAAGCGUAACGGAGGAGCACGAAGGUUAGCUAAUCCUGGUCGGACAUCAGGAGGUUAGUGCAAUGGCAUAAGCUAGCUUGACUGCGAGCGUGACGGCGCGAGCAGGUGCGAAAGCAGGUCAUAGUGAUCCGGUGGUUCUGAAUGGAAGGGCCAUCGCUCAACGGAUAAAAGGUACUCCGGGGAUAACAGGCUGAUACCGCCCAAGAGUUCAUAUCGACGGCGGUGUUUGGCACCUCGAUGUCGGCUCAUCACAUCCUGGGGCUGAAGUAGGUCCCAAGGGUAUGGCUGUUCGCCAUUUAAAGUGGUACGCGAGCUGGGUUUAGAACGUCGUGAGACAGUUCGGUCCCUAUCUGCCGUGGGCGCUGGAGAAUUGAGGGGGGCUGCUCCUAGUACGAGAGGACCGGAGUGGACGCAUCACUGGUGUUCGGGUUGUCAUGCCAAUGGCACUGCCCGGUAGCUAAAUGCGGAAGAGAUAAGUGCUGAAAGCAUCUAAGCACGAAACUUGCCCCGAGAUGAGUUCU